Molecule: ribosomal RNA, 429 nt
Filed under: Acidobacteriota bacterium
Lineage: Bacteria; Pseudomonadati; Acidobacteriota
Description: Acidobacteria bacterium partial 16S ribosomal RNA
Rfam family: Bacterial small subunit ribosomal RNA
Source: RNAcentral
UGGGGAAUUUUGGACAAUGGGGGAAACCCUGAUCCAGCCAUCCCGCAUGUGCGAUGAAGGCCUUCGGGUUGUAAAGCACUUUUGGCAGGAAAGAAACGUCAUGGGUUAAUACCCCGUGAAACUGACGGUACCUGCAGAAUAAGCACCGGCUAACUACGUGCCAGCAGCCGCGGUAAUACGUAGGGUGCAAGCGUUAAUCGGAAUUACUGGGCGUAAAGCGUGCGCAGGCGGUUCGGAAAGAAAGAUGUGAAAUCCCAGAGCUCAACUUUGGAACUGCAUUUUUAACUACCGGGCUAGGGUGUGUCAGAGGGAGGUGGAAUUCGGCGUGUAGCAGUGAAAUGCGUAGAUAUGAGGAGGAACACCGAUGGCGAAGGCAGCCUCCUGGGAUAACACUGACGCUCAUGCACGAAAGCGUGGGGAGCAAACAGG